This 440-nucleotide ribosomal RNA is filed under the name uncultured bacterium. RNAcentral describes it as "bacterial SSU rRNA". It matches the Rfam family "Bacterial small subunit ribosomal RNA", at positions 338 to 771 of the family's 1533-position model. The record is from RNAcentral.
CCUACGGGUGGCAGCAGUCGAGAAUUUUUCUCAAUGGGCGCAAGCCUGAAGGAGCGACGCCGCGUGGGGGAUGAAGGGUUUCGAUCCGUAAACCCCUGUCAUUUGUGAACAAGGUUCACUCAAUAACACUGGGUGAAUUGAUAGUAAUGAAAGAGGAAGGGACGGCUAACUCUGUGCCAGCAGCCGCGGUAAUACAGAGGUCCCGAGCGUUGUUCGGAUUCACUGGGCGUAAAGGGUGCGUAGGUGGCCAUGAAAGUCUGAUGUGAAAUCUCCGGGCUCAACCCGGAAAUGGCAUUGGAUACUAUGUGGCUGGAGGUUUGGAGGGGGGACUGGAAUUCUCGGUGUAGCAGUGAAAUGCGUAGAUAUCGAGAGGAACACCAGUGGCGAAGGCGAGUCCCUGGACAAGACCUGACACUGAGGCACGAAAGCCGGGGGAGCAA